UACGUAGGGGGCAAGCGUUGUCCGGAAUCAUUGGGCGUAAAGGGUGCGUAGGCGGCGCGGUAAGUCGGGUGUGAAAUCUCGGGGCUUAACUCCGAAACUGCAUUCGAUACUGUCGUGCUUGAGGACUGGAGAGGAGACUGGAAUUUACGGUGUAGCGGUGAAAUGCGUAGAUAUCGUAAGGAAGACCAGUGGCGAAGGCGGGUCUCUGGACAGUUCCUGACGCUGAGGCACGAAGGCCAGGGGAGCAAACGGG
This 253-nucleotide ribosomal RNA is filed under the name uncultured bacterium. RNAcentral's name for it is "partial 16S ribosomal RNA". It matches the Rfam family "Bacterial small subunit ribosomal RNA", at positions 524 to 776 of the family's 1533-position model. The record is from RNAcentral.